Non-coding RNA from Caenorhabditis elegans, 150 nucleotides. NCBI's taxonomy places the organism in Eukaryota, Metazoa, Nematoda, Chromadorea, Rhabditida, Rhabditidae. The record is from Ensembl.
CUCCGUUCACUUUUUCUCUUCGAUUUUUGUUGGUUGCGCGAAAACUCGAAAACAAAAGCAAAGAGAGUGCAGAUGUGGAGUACCACGACCACUUGAGCCGAACCACCACCCAUCACAAAUCUGCCCCCGGAAAUCAGAAAUGAAAUCAGA